GGCCUAGAGCUGGCCCCGGGUCACAGUGGGGGGUGUGGCCACCCAGGACCUGUCUAAGGCUCCAGGCUGUCCCUCCUUCCUCCCAGCCUUCAGAACUCAAGAACCACCAAAGCCCCUCAUACAAGGCUCACAAGUAACAACCCGGUUCCUGAAUACAUGAUGGCAGAACCUGGAGUUCUCCACUCUUGCCCCUGCCUGCUUCCAGAAUUAGGACUGAGAUAGGUACACGCUGGCCCUGAAAACAGUUUCCGGAUCAUUUCUCCCAGGCCAGCCUCUACAGCUUUCUGUAUCUCUGCAGUGGCCCCUGUGGGCUGGCAAGUAUCUCACUGCGAGCAUUAUCCACGGGAUACGUCCUCGUGGGACGUAUCCUGACCUUAAAUAACUAAUAACCCUGACCUUAAAUAACUCAUCUUCCCAUGAGGCCGUGUUGCCUAACGUCUUCCUCUUUGUCAGUCAUUCACGUCAUCAUUUAGCAAGAACUUUCUGGGCACCAGGCGCUGUGCAAAGCUCUUUAAACAAAUCACCGGAUGUAGCAGCAUCAGCCCCGUGUCGCAGGCACUGUCACUGAUUUUGCCAAUGAGAACACCAUGCUGCCCUUCCCCAAACACACACUGCACCUUCCCACCACUGAAGUUUUGCCCAUGCUGUUCCCGUCUCCAGUCUGCUCUUCCCUCCAUGCCUCCGGCUACUGAAAUACCACACGACCAUCCAUGCCAGGCUCGGGUGCCCUCCUUCCUAGGGGUCUUCACCUGCCCCACGAUUGCUUCGAGCUUGUUCUUCUCUGACCUUCGUCCCUCUGUAGCACUCACCGUGCUCUUAGAGGAGGUUACCUGUGUAGAUGGCUUUCUUCCCACCCAGAAUGUACAGGUAUUAAGGAUCAGGACCGUCGUUUUGCACCUGUAUAAUGCUCACUGUGCCUGGGCCAGGGAUUCGAAAUGCAGCCUUCAUCUCACUCAACCGUGUGAACAGCUAAACAGGAAGUCCCCAGGCUGCCCCGGCCACAGACAGGGCACAAAGUUGCUACGCAAGCAUCUCAUGGCAUCUGGCAUCCGUAUCACUUCUCACCGUAUGUCCACAAAUUCUUGGACACUCCUCCUUUAGGGGUCCCGAAUUCCCCUUCCCUUGAACAUGAUUGGACUUAGUGACUCACUUUCAACACAGAAUAUGGUGGAAGUGUCGGUAUGUAGCUUCUGAGACCAUUGCGGGCAUUGCAGCCCUUGGCUUGUUUGCUUGUGGAACCUUCACACUGAGGAUAGAAAGCUGCCCUGACCUGGGGAUACUCAAUCAACCCUUACGGAGAGGCCUGCGUGGCUGGGAACUGAGGCCUCCUGCUAAAAGCCAUUCAAGUGAACCACCUUAGAAGUGGAUCCUCAGCCUCAGGCAAGGAUGACAUCAGAUGACAUAGGGAGAGACUACCAGCUAAGGCAUUCCUGGAUUUCUGACCCUCAGAAGCUGUGGGAAAUAAUAAACAUUUGUUGGCCUGA
Molecule: long non-coding RNA, 1484 nt
Organism: Neofelis nebulosa (Clouded leopard)
Lineage: Eukaryota; Metazoa; Chordata; Mammalia; Carnivora; Felidae
Exons: 2
Source: RefSeq, a predicted model, not a curated record